CGCGUAUCGAACCUGCCUCAUACUCGGGAAUAGCCUUGCGAAAGUAAGAUUAAUGCCCGGUGUUUUCAGAGUCCCGCAUGAGGCUUUGAACAAAGAUUUAUCGGUAUGAGAUGGCGAUGCGUCCCAUUAGCUUGUUGGCGGGGUAACGGCCCACCAAGGCAUCGAUGGGUAGGGGUUCUGAGAGGAAGGUCCCCCACAUUGGAACUGAGACACGGUCCAA
RNAcentral lists this ribosomal RNA (220 nucleotides) under uncultured bacterium. Its description in RNAcentral is "partial 16S ribosomal RNA". It matches the Rfam family "Bacterial small subunit ribosomal RNA", at positions 114 to 334 of the family's 1533-position model. The record is from RNAcentral.